ACAGGUGGUGCAUGGUUGUCGUCAGCUCGUGUCGUGAGAUGUUGGGUUAAGUCCCGCAACGAGCGCAACCCUUAUCUUCAGUAGCCAGCAGGUAAAGCCGGGCACUCUGGAGAGACUGCCGGGGAUAACCCGGAGGAAGGUGGGGACGACGUCAAAUCAUCAUGCCCCUUAUGGUUUGGGCUACACACGUGCUACAAUGGCGUGAACAGAGGGAAGCGAGCCCGCGAGGGGGAGCAAAUCCCAAAAAUAACGUCCCAGUUCGGAUUGUAGUCUGCAACCCGACUACAUGAAGCUGGAAUCGCUAGUAAUCGCGGAUCAGAAUGCCGCGGUGAAUACGUUCCCGGGUCUUGUACACACCGCCCGUCACACCAUGGGAGUCGGAAAUGCCCGAAGUCUGUGACCUAACCGCAAGGGAGGAGCAGCCGAAGGCAGGUCGGAUGACUGGGGUGAAGUCGUAACAAGGUAGCCGUAUCGGAAGGUGCGGCUGGAUCACCUC
This 496-nucleotide ribosomal RNA is filed under the name uncultured bacterium. RNAcentral's name for it is "bacterial SSU rRNA". It matches the Rfam family "Bacterial small subunit ribosomal RNA", at positions 1034 to 1529 of the family's 1533-position model. The record is from RNAcentral.